Molecule: transfer RNA, 72 nt
Filed under: Camelus bactrianus (Bactrian camel)
Lineage: Eukaryota; Metazoa; Chordata; Mammalia; Artiodactyla; Camelidae
Also listed under: 2 other names
Rfam family: tRNA
About the family: Transfer RNA (tRNA) molecules are approximately 80 nucleotides in length.
Source: Rfam by way of RNAcentral
AAGGGUAUAUCUCAGAGGUUGAGCGCAUGCUUAGCACGCAUGAGGUCUUGGGUUCAAUCCCCAGCACCUCCA